Molecule: unclassified non-coding RNA, 212 nt
Filed under: Ascomycota sp.
Lineage: Eukaryota; Fungi; Ascomycota
Description: partial contains small subunit ribosomal RNA, internal transcribed spacer 1, and 5.8S ribosomal RNA
Rfam family: Eukaryotic small subunit ribosomal RNA (bases 1-47)
Source: RNAcentral
AAAGUCGUAACAAGGUCUCCGUUGGUGAACCAGCGGAGGGAUCAUUACAGAGUUGCAAAACUCCCAACCCCUUGCGAACGAACUGCAGCAGUUGCUUCGGCGGACUGCCCCUGUGGCGGCCCGCCGAAGGUAUACAAACUCUUGUUCAUUUUGGCAUCUCUGAGUGACUUUACAAUAAGUUAAAACUUUCAACAACGGAUCUCUUGGUUCUG